GUGGGGAAUCUUAGACAAUGGGCGCAAGCCUGAUCUAGCCAUGCCGCGUGAGUGAUGAAGGCCCUAGGGUUGUAAAGCUCUUUCAGCUGGGAAGAUAAUGACGGUACCAGCAGAAGAAGCCCCGGCUAACUCCGUGCCAGCAGCCGCGGUAAUACGGAGGGGGCUAGCGUUGUUCGGAAUUACUGGGCGUAAAGCGCGCGUAGGCGGACUGAAAAGUUGGGGGUGAAAUCCCGGGGCUCAACCUCGGAACUGCCUUCAAAACUAUCAGUCUGGAGUUCGAGAGAGGUGAGUGGAAUUCCGAGUGUAGAGGUGAAAUUCGUAGAUAUUCGGAGGAACACCAGUGGCGAAGGCGGCUCACUGGCUCGAUACUGACGCUGAGGUGCGAAAGCGUGGGGAGCAAACAGGAUUAGAAACCCUAGUAGUCC
This 425-nucleotide ribosomal RNA is filed under the name uncultured bacterium. RNAcentral's name for it is "partial 16S ribosomal RNA". It matches the Rfam family "Bacterial small subunit ribosomal RNA", at positions 354 to 796 of the family's 1533-position model. The record is from RNAcentral.